UUUUUUCUUUUUCCUGUUUUAAAGCUACUCUUUGUUCUUUUAAUUCUAAUUGUUUGUAGAAUUUUUUUUCUUUUUCCUGUUUUUAAGCUACUCUUUGUUCUUCUAUUCUAAUUGUUUGUAGAAUUUUUUUUCUUUUUCCUGUUUUUAAGCUACUCUUUGUUCUUUUAAUUGUUUGUAGAAAAUUGCUGAGGCUUGUAGUUAUAGGUUGCCUUUUUUCCUGUCUUGAUCUACUCCUGUUCUUGUAUUGUUUGUAGAUGUAGAGAAUUAAGAGGCUUAAACAUUUCAACACACAUGUUUUUUUUCGCUGUUUUAAGCUACUCUUCUUAUAUUGUUUGUAGAGAAUUGUUGAGGCUUAGGCCCUGUUUAGUUUCCCACCCAAAAAUUUUUCAUCCAUCCCAUCGAAUCUUUGGACACAUGCAUGAAACAUUAAAUGUAGAUAAAAAAAUAAACUAACUACACAGUUUAGUUAAGAAUCGCGAGACGAAUCUUUUAAGCCUAGUUACUCUAUGAUUAGCCUUAAGUGCUACAGUAACCCACAUAUGCUAAUGACAGAUUAAUUAUGCUUAAUAAAUUUGUCUUGCAGUUUCCUGACGAGCUAUAUAAUUUGUUUUUUUAUUAGUUUCUAAAAACUCUUCCCGACAUCCUUCCGACACAUCCGAUGUGACACCCAAAAAAUUUUCGUUCCCAAUCUAAACAGGGCCUUAUAGAUUUCAACCACAGAAUUAAAUUAAAUAUAUUCAGACCGUACGAGUAUGGACGUUCCUUUAUGAGUCAUAUCACAUAUCAAGUGGGUCAAAUUGCACUUAUCACUUUUUAAUCGAAGUGAUAUUAUAUCGCCUGUCAUUAACAAGUGGCUGUUAUUAAGCACGUUCCACUAUUCAAUCGAAUCUUUUUUGUGCUCCAAGUUAAAACCUUGAAUUAUAUCUUAUUUGAGACUUGUGUUUGAGCUAGGCUACAAAUCUUGCCUGCUCAAAAGGGACGGCAAUUAAUGUUCUGUAUUUCUACUACAAAUUGACGCAGCUCCAGAUCUGCG
Molecule: long non-coding RNA, 1033 nt
Filed under: Sorghum bicolor (sorghum)
Lineage: Eukaryota; Viridiplantae; Streptophyta; Magnoliopsida; Poales; Poaceae
Description: long non-coding RNA (SBIC_LNC003955)
Source: RNAcentral